AACGAACGCUGGCGGCAUGCCUAACACAUGCAAGUCGAACGAGACCUUCGGGUCUAGUGGCGCACGGGUGCGUAACGCGUGGGAACCUGCCCUUAGGUUCGGAAUAACUCCCCGAAAGGGGUGCUAAUACCGGAUAAUGUCUUCGGACCAAAGAUUUAUCGCCUUUGGAUGGGCCCGCGUUGGAUUAGCUAGUUGGUAGGGUAAAAGCCUACCAAGGCGACGAUCCAUAGCUGGUCUGAGAGGAUGAUCAGCCACACUGGGACUAAGACACGGCCCAGACUCCUACGGGAAGCAGCAGUGGGGAAUAUUGGACAAUGGGCGAAAGCCUGAUCCAGCAAUGCCGCGUGAGUGAUGAAGGCCUUAGGGUUGUAAAGCUCUUUUACCCGGGAUGAUAAUGACAGUACCGGGAGAAUAAGCUCCGGCUAACUCCGUG
This 433-nucleotide ribosomal RNA is filed under the name uncultured bacterium. RNAcentral describes it as "partial 16S ribosomal RNA". It matches the Rfam family "Bacterial small subunit ribosomal RNA", at positions 29 to 507 of the family's 1533-position model. The record is from RNAcentral.